UCACCUCCAAACAUCUCCAAAGUACCUCCCUAGGGACUUUAUCGUAUGCCUUCUCCAAGUCGAUAAACACCAUGUGCAAGUCCUUCUUUCUUUUCCUAUACUGCUCCACCAGUCUCCGCAUCAGAUGAAUUUCCUCCAUCGUCAAGCGUCCGGGCAUAAAUCCAAACUGAUUCUUCAAAAUAGACAUUAUCUUCCUCAACCUUCGCUCGAUC
This 212-nucleotide long non-coding RNA is filed under the name Capsicum annuum. RNAcentral describes it as "long non-coding RNA (CANN_LNC003251)". Lineage: Eukaryota; Viridiplantae; Streptophyta; Magnoliopsida; Solanales; Solanaceae. The record is from RNAcentral.